GCAACUCGCCUACANGAAGUCGGAAUUGCUAGUAAUCGCGGAUCAGCAUGCCGCGGUGAAUACGUUCCCGGGCCUUGUACACACCGCCCGUCACACCAUGAGAGCCGGUAACACCCGAAGUCAGUAGCCUAACCGCAAGGGGGGCGCUGCCGAAGGUGGGAUUGGUAAUUGGGGUGAAGUCGUAACAAGGUAGC
RNAcentral lists this ribosomal RNA (194 nucleotides) under uncultured bacterium. RNAcentral's name for it is "partial 16S ribosomal RNA". It matches the Rfam family "Bacterial small subunit ribosomal RNA", at positions 1307 to 1500 of the family's 1533-position model. The record is from RNAcentral.